This 263-nucleotide ribosomal RNA is filed under the name uncultured bacterium. RNAcentral's name for it is "partial 16S ribosomal RNA". It matches the Rfam family "Bacterial small subunit ribosomal RNA", at positions 95 to 354 of the family's 1533-position model. The record is from RNAcentral.
CCGGCGCACGGGUGAGUAGCGCGUAUGCAACCUGGCCGUGACAGAUGGAUAACCGGGAGAAAUCCCGCCUAAUACAACAUAAUGCCGGGAGGGGACAUCCCCUGCCGGCCAAAGGGGGCGACCCCGGUCACGGAUGGGCAUGCGGCGCAUUAGGUAGUUGGUGGGGCAACGGCCCACCAAGCCGACGAUGCGUAGGGGCUCUGAGAGGAAGGUCCCCCACAUUGGAACUGAGACACGGUCCAAACUCCUACGGAAGGCAGCAG